RNAcentral lists this long non-coding RNA (1199 nucleotides) under Heterocephalus glaber (naked mole-rat). Its description in RNAcentral is "lncRNA (ENSHGLG00000045236.1)". The record is from RNAcentral. Lineage: Eukaryota; Metazoa; Chordata; Mammalia; Rodentia; Bathyergidae.
GUCAUUAAAUCUUUCUUACAAUUAUCUCCCUAUUCUAUUUAAUUUUUCUGUUGGAUGCAGUAAAUCAUUCAUAAAAAUCUUCAGAGGAGGUUCUUUGUUGAUAUACUUUUUUUUUGGUACUGAGGAUCGAACUCAGGACCUUCCGCUUGUGAGGCAGGAGCAGUGUCAUUGAGCUAAAGCCCCCGGCCCUAUCGAUAUACUUUCUUAACCCUUUAGUAUCUGAGGCUGUCUUCCAGUUGCCUUCAUACGCAAAUACUAAUUUGGAAGGGUAUAUAAUUCUUGGUUCAAAGUUAUUUUCCCUUAAAACUCUGUAAAUGUUCCAUUGUCUUCUGGUAUUUAGAAUCGUAAGAGAAAAACCUGAGGUCAGUCUGACUUUUGCCUCUUUAUAUGUAACCUGUUUUCUCUGGAUACUUGCAAAAUUUUUUCUUUAUGCUUGAAAUUUAAAAGUCACAAGGAUAUGCCUAGGUGUUGCUUUCUUCUACUUAAAUUUUAAAGGUACCCUGUGAGCCUUCUUCAUUUUCAGGUCUACUUCAUUCUUCAACUCUGGAAAAUUUUCUUCAGUUAGCUCCAUAAUUAUUGUUUCAGCUUCAUUUGCUUUGUCUUCUCUUUCAGGUUUUCCUAUUACACAUAGAUCGUAUCUCCUGGACAAGCCCUCUACAUCUCUCCUUUUCUCUUCUUUCCUCAUCUUAUUUCUUUGGCCUUUUCCUCUGCAUUCUGUGAGAAUUUCUCUUAUUUUCCAUUUACUUGAGAAAUUUUAUGUUGUAACCGACCAUUUUUCUGUGCUUCCUUUAAACAGGCCUCGAUCUCUUCCAUGUGGUCGCACAACACCUGCUUUACAACUAAGACAGGAUGGUGGGUUUUUUGUUGCUUACAUCACCUACUGAGUGUUGACAGCAAUGAUGGAACAAGUCAGCAAGUUUUCAGGGUGCUGCUGUGGAGCUGUGGAGAUGGGACCUUUAAAAGAGGCAAGCGGCUCAGUACCAGGAUGCAUGGGCCUUACUUACCUCAAGGAAUUGACAUUUUGGUGGCAGGAUGUAAAGAUUCAAGUCAACCUAGCAUGCUGUGAUAGCAGUGCCAUUGGAUGUUAAGGAUGCACAAAAGAGGACUAUGUACUCUGGUCUUCAGAGAUGGGGGAGGUUCUGGCAGACAGAACCAAUCUUUUAAGACUAGCAGGAGUUAGCCAGGUGAAGGGGGAGGGC